GCUAAGACUGGAUAGGAAGAUAAAAGGCAUCUUUUAUCUUUUAAAAGACCUAGUAAUAGGUAUGCUUUAGGAGGGGCUUGCGCCAUAUUAGUUAGUUGGUAGGGUAAUGGCCUACCAAGACGAUGAUGUGUAGCUGGACUGAGAGGUUGAACAGCCACAUUGGGACUGAGACACGGCCCAAACUCCUACGGGAGGCAGCAGUAGGGAAUUUUCGGCAAUGGAGGAAACUCUGACCGAGCAACGCCGCGUGAAUGACGAAGUACUUCGGUAUGUAAAGUUCUUUUAUCAAGGAAGAAAAGCAAAUGGCGAACCAUUUGUUUGCCGGUACUUGAUGAAUAAGCCCCGGCUAAUUAUGUGCCAGCAGCCGCGGUAAGACAUAAGGGGCAAGUGUUAUCCGGAAUUAUUGGGCGUAAAGGGUGCGUAGGCGGUCUAGUAAGUCAGUGGUGUAAUGGCAACGCUUAACGUUGUCCGGCUAUUGAAACUGCUAAACUUGAGUUAGAUAGAGGCGAGUGGAAUUCCAUGUGUAGCGGUAAAAUGCGUAAAUAUAUGGAGGAACACCAGAGGCGUAGGCGGCUCGCUGGGUCUUAACUGACGCUGAGGCACGAAAGCGUGGGGAGCAAACAGGAUUAGAUACCCUGGUAGUCCACGCCGUAAACGAUGAGUACUAAGUGUCGGGUUAAACCGGUACUGAAGUUAACACAUUAAGUACUCCGCCUGAGUAGUACGUACGCAAGUAUGAAACUUAAAGGAAUUGACGGGACUCCGCACAAGCGGUGGAUCAUGUUGUUUAAUUCGAAGAUACCCGAAAAACCUUACCAGGUCUUGACAUGUUUUUGCAAAAUGAUAGUAAUAUCGUGGAGGUUACCAGAAACACAGGUGGUGCAUGGUUGUCGUCAGCUCGUGUCGUGAGAUGUUAGGUUAAGUCCUAAAACGAGCGAAACCCUUAUCGUUAGUUGCCAGCACGUUAUGGUGGGGACUUUAACGAGACUGCCAAUGAUAAAUUGGAGGAAGGUGAGGAUCACGUCAAAUCAGCAUGCCCCUUAUGACCUGGGCUACAAACGUGAUACAAUGGCUGUUACAAAGGGUAGCUGAAACGCAAGUUCUUGGCCAAUCCCCAAAAACAGUCCCAGUCCGGAUUGAAGUCUGCAACUCGACUUCAUGAAGUUGGAAUCGCUAGUAAUCGCGAAUCAGCAUGUCGCGGUGAAUACGUUCUCGGGGUUUGUACACACCGCCCGUCAAA
RNAcentral lists this ribosomal RNA (1240 nucleotides) under Sesame phyllody phytoplasma. RNAcentral describes it as "bacterial SSU rRNA". It matches the Rfam family "Bacterial small subunit ribosomal RNA", at positions 162 to 1401 of the family's 1533-position model. The record is from RNAcentral. Lineage: Bacteria; Bacillati; Mycoplasmatota; Mollicutes; Acholeplasmatales; Acholeplasmataceae.